This 130-nucleotide small RNA is filed under the name Bison bison bison. RNAcentral's name for it is "TUC338 (ENSBBBG00000003068.1)". The record is from RNAcentral. Lineage: Eukaryota; Metazoa; Chordata; Mammalia; Artiodactyla; Bovidae.
UGAAGUCCUGUAUUUAUCCAGUCUAGGUACUGGACAGGCUGCCACAGUGUGAGCUUCCUAAACUACUACCCUGGUAAUCUCCACCUUGACUUGGAGGAACCAUCCUCUCUAGGGGUGUAAAGGUAGUUCA